UACGUAGGGGGCAAGCGUUGUCCGGAUUUACUGGGCGUAAAGAGCGUGUAGGCGGCCAAGCAGGUCCGUUGUGAAAACUGGAGGCUUAACCUCCAGACGUCGACGGAAACCGCGUGGCUAGAGUCCGGAAGAGGAGAGUGGAAUUCCUGGUGUAGCGGUGAAAUGCGCAGAUAUCAGGAAGAACACCAAUGGCGAAGGCAGCUCUCUGGGACGGUGCUGACGCUGAGACGCGAAAGCGUGGGGAGCGAACAGG
This 253-nucleotide ribosomal RNA is filed under the name uncultured bacterium. RNAcentral describes it as "partial 16S ribosomal RNA". It matches the Rfam family "Bacterial small subunit ribosomal RNA", at positions 524 to 776 of the family's 1533-position model. The record is from RNAcentral.